RNAcentral lists this ribosomal RNA (439 nucleotides) under uncultured bacterium. RNAcentral's name for it is "partial 16S ribosomal RNA". It matches the Rfam family "Bacterial small subunit ribosomal RNA", at positions 339 to 795 of the family's 1533-position model. The record is from RNAcentral.
CUACGGGCUGCUCCAGUGGGGAAUAUUGCACAAUGGAGGAAACUCUGAUGCAGCAACGCCGCGUGGAGGAUGACACUUUUCGGAGCGUAAACUCCUUUUAUAUUGGAAGAAGAUGACGGUACUAUAUGAAUAAGCGCCGGCUAACUCCGUGCCAGCAGCCGCGGUAAUACGGAGGGCGCAAGCGUUACUCGGAAUCACUGGGCGUAAAGGGCAUGUAGGCGGAUUAAAAAGUCAGAAGUGAAAUCCUAUAGCUUAACUAUAGAACUGCUUCUGAAACUCUUAAUCUAGAAUAUGGGAGAGGUAGAUGGAAUUUCUGGUGUAGGGGUAAUAUCCGUAGAGAUCAGAAGGAAUACCGAUUGCGAAGGCGAUCUACUAGAACAUUAUUGACGCUGAGACGCGAAAGCGUGGGGAGCAAACAGGAUUAGAUACCCGCGUAGUC